Molecule: ribosomal RNA, 1369 nt
Filed under: uncultured bacterium
Lineage: Bacteria
Description: bacterial SSU rRNA
Rfam family: Bacterial small subunit ribosomal RNA
Source: RNAcentral
GACGAACGCUGGCGGCGUGCCUAAUACAUGCAAGUAGAACGCUGAAGAGAGGAGCUUGCUCUUCUUGGAUGAGUUGCGAACGGGUGAGUAACGCGUAGGUAACCUGCCUUGUAGCGGGGGAUAACUAUUGGAAACGAUAGCUAAUACCGCAUAACAAUGGAUGACACAUGUCAUUUAUUUGAAAGGGGCAAUUGCUCCACUACAAGAUGGACCUGCGUUGUAUUAGCUAGUAGGUGAGGUAACGGCUCACCUAGGCGACGAUACAUAGCCGACCUGAGAGGGUGAUCGGCCACACUGGGACUGAGACACGGCCCAGACUCCUACGGGAGGCAGCAGUAGGGAAUCUUCGGCAAUGGGGGCAACCCUGACCGAACAACGCCGCGUGAGUGAAGAAGGUUUUCGGAUCGUAAAGCUCUGUUGUAAGUCAAGAACGAGUGUGAGAGUGGAAAGUUCACACUGUGACGGUAGCUUACCAGAAAGGGACGGCUAACUACGUGCCAGCAGCCGCGGUAAUACGUAGGUCCCGAGCGUUGUCCGGAUUUAUUGGGCGUAAAGCGAGCGCAGGCGGUUUGAUAAGUCUGAAGUUAAAGGCUGUGGCUCAACCAUAGUUCGCUUUGGAAACUGUCAAACUUGAGUGCAGAAGGGGAGAGUGGAAUUCCAUGUGUAGCGGUGAAAUGCGUAGAUAUAUGGAGGAACACCGGUGGCGAAAGCGGCUCUCUGGUCUGUAACUGACGCUGAGGCUCGAAAGCGUGGGGAGCGAACAGGAUUAGAUACCCUGGUAGUCCACGCCGUAAACGAUGAGUGCUAGGUGUUGGAUCCUUUCCGGGAUUCAGUGCCGCAGCUAACGCAUUAAGCACUCCGCCUGGGGAGUACGACCGCAAGGUUGAAACUCAAAGGAAUUGACGGGGGCCCGCACAAGCGGUGGAGCAUGUGGUUUAAUUCGAAGCAACGCGAAGAACCUUACCAGGUCUUGACAUCCCGAUGCUAUUUCUAGAGAUAGAAAGUUACUUCGGUACAUCGGUGACAGGUGGUGCAUGGUUGUCGUCAGCUCGUGUCGUGAGAUGUUGGGUUAAGUCCCGCAACGAGCGCAACCCCUAUUGUUAGUUGCCAUCAUUCAGUUGGGCACUCUAGCGAGACUGCCGGUAAUAAACCGGAGGAAGGUGGGGAUGACGUCAAAUCAUCAUGCCCCUUAUGACCUGGGCUACACACGUGCUACAAUGGUUGGUACAACGAGUUGCGAGUCGGUGACGGCAAGCUAAUCUCUUAAAGCCAACCUCAGUUCGGAUUGUAGGCUGCAACUCGCCUACAUGAAGUCGGAAUCGCUAGUAAUCGCGGAUCAGCACGCCGCGGUGAAUACGUUCCCGGGCCU